This 213-nucleotide non-coding RNA is filed under the name Myotis davidii. RNAcentral's name for it is "Connexin-43 internal ribosome entry site (IRES)". It matches the Rfam family "Connexin-43 internal ribosome entry site (IRES)". From Rfam's summary of the family: This family represents the connexin-43 internal ribosome entry site (IRES) which allows cap independent translation during conditions such as heat shock and stress. The record is from Rfam by way of RNAcentral. Lineage: Eukaryota; Metazoa; Chordata; Mammalia; Chiroptera; Vespertilionidae.
AGCUUUUACGAGGUACCAGCACUUUUCUUUCAUUAGGGGGAAGGAGUGAGGAAAGGACCGAGGAGCAGCUAGACUGACUUUUAAAACUUUUAAGUACAGGCAGGUCUGAGUGCCUGGACCUGCCUUUUCAUUUUACUUCGCCCUCUAAGGAGUUCCAUCAGCUGGCGUGCCUGCUUCACUUCUUUUAAGAGAAAGAGUAAGUUUGCUGUUUUG